UACGUAGGUGGCAAGCGUUAUCCGGAAUUAUUGGGCGUAAAGAGCGCGCAGGUGGUUGAUUAAGUCUGAUGUGAAAGCCCACGGCUUAACCGUGGAGGGUCAUUGGAAACUGGUCGACUUGAGUGCAGAAGAGGGAAGUGGAAUUCCAUGUGUAGCAGUGAAAUGCGUAGAGAUAUGGAGGAACACCAGUGGCGAAGGCGGCUUCCUGGUCUGUAACUGACACUGAGGCGCGAAAGCGUGGGGAGCAAACAGGAUUAGAUA
Molecule: ribosomal RNA, 261 nt
Filed under: uncultured prokaryote
Description: partial 16S ribosomal RNA
Rfam family: Bacterial small subunit ribosomal RNA
Source: RNAcentral